AAGAGGAGGAGGAAUCUAGGCAUGUAGGAGAUGUGAGAAGACACAGAGAAGAAACAGGAGGUGCAAGAUGAAGAGAGCAGUCCUGUGAAGUAUGACUGUCCCCUCCACUGCUUUACCAAUAACUAAAUGAGCCAGAAAGAAAUUAAAUCUCAUCCUCAAAUUCCCCACCAACCAAGAGGUAAACUGGGGACUUGAACUCAGCACUUGUAACUCCAGAGUCCAUGCACUCAGACACACUGCACUGUGAAUGACACACAGCACCUCUAGCCUCACAUCUCCAUGACAAGUGGAAAGAAGAGAGGAGAAUACAAAAGCAUCCCCUCAAGUUCCUAGCAGACAGGCUCUCAUAGCCACUAAUAGCUGCAAGGGAUUCUGGGACUCCAAGAGUCAAGCUGAUCUUCACGGUCUCCUUUGCCUCCUACAGCAGCAAAGUGAGUUACGGGACUCA
Molecule: long non-coding RNA, 448 nt
Organism: Peromyscus eremicus (cactus mouse)
Lineage: Eukaryota; Metazoa; Chordata; Mammalia; Rodentia; Cricetidae
Exons: 4
Source: RefSeq, a predicted model, not a curated record